Homo sapiens (human) is the source of this 2666-nucleotide long non-coding RNA. RefSeq lists it as uncharacterized. Lineage: Eukaryota; Metazoa; Chordata; Mammalia; Primates; Hominidae. The transcript is spliced from 4 exons. The record is from RefSeq and is a predicted model, not a curated record.
AGCUUCCGGCGUGACGCAGUAGAAAAGGUGGCGUGGCUGGCGAUUCGUGUUCGUGAGGGCCUUUUCUGCCCGUGCACAUCCCUACCUCCUCACUGGGAAACACAAGUAUAUCUGCUGCCUAGGGCCUUCCCAUUCCAGCCAUGCAGACUCUGGCACCCAGCAAGCUGCUUCCUGCUCUGAUCACAGACCCACUCAGGCUGACCAACGUUCCUCUGACCUGUGCCCUCCAUUACUCUAGGCCUCUCCCAGACUUACCCAAUUUCAGUUGCCUUCCUCCUACCAACUCUUCCACAACCGAAGCUGGAGCUCUCUGUACAUCCUCAACCAGAGCCACAGCUUCCUCGCCGUUUUCUGGAUGCUGCUCCCUCACCCAGGUCUGGAUCUCCUCUGGCAAGAUAGUCAGAAACUGCUCCAAAACCAGCAGCUCCAGGAUUUCCUCUUUUGAGUGGGUCUUCGGCCUCAGCCACUGACAACAGAGUUCCCAGAGUUUGCUAAAAGCUUCAUGUGGGCCAGUUACCUCCUGGUAGCAAAACUGCCUGAAGCGCUGACGGGAGGCCUCGGAGUCAGGGCUGUUACCCUGGAGGGCUGAUUUCUGGCCCUGUGUGGGAUCCUUGUUUGAGGAUGGGUGUGCCUCGGUACUCUUCACUGCAGCCAUCAUUUGCUUCAACGAACUGGCUUACUCUGGUUGCCACUUCUACCCUGGAGAUCAGAGUCCAUCUUUCCCACAUCACUGGGAAGCCAUGUUCUCCUGCAAGGAAUGUCUUUCUGUAAUCCGUGGGACAUGAGAGUGUCAGACAUGUGUAGAGACUCACAGCGGAAAAAAAGGGCUCAACUUUGAAGGAUGUCUGAAGAGGAUGGAAAAAGACAAUAUAAACCUAUCAAACAUUCCUUCACUCUGGUUCUUGUGAUUUACUUCCUAUCCCUUUCCUUUACUCCCUCCACAAAUCUACACCAAGGAUCCAAAACACUAGAAAUAGAUCUAGACCAUCCUGGCUAACUGCCUUUGCAAAAACCAUUAACAGUGAGAAGAUUAUGACACUAAAAGAGAUAGGAUCUAACCAACUCCAUCUUGCUUUUAACCUCCAAACUGCCGUUGGUCAUUCCUGGGUGUGGGCCAAGCUAGCUUUGGGAGAAAUUUAGUUUAUAGUUUGAAUGAUAAUAACCCUUCCCAAAACUAAACUGCCUUUGUAAAACUAAUUAAAGACAACUAGGUUAGGAGGAUGAGAGGGGCCUGAAUUCUGCUAAGAUGCAGGCAUAAUGAAAUGAUUAUCCAGAGGUCACAAGAUUUGCAACUUCCCCAAUUAAAUAACAUCACGAUUGUAGAACCUAAGAUUGGCCUUUUGAGAUGCCUUUUCAGGCCUCUGCUUUCUGACAACCAGAUGGCUCCACCUAGACCAGGGACUCCUCUGUGGCUCCCACCCAAAAUCGCACUCAGCACACAAAAACCGUUUUCCACAGCCCUAUGAAUGCAUCCCCAACCAGUCAGCAUUCCCUGUUCCCUACCCAACUGCGUGCCAAAGCCCUAGCCUCUGAAUUUCCGGGGAGGCUGACUUGAGUAAUAAAACUUUAGUCUCCCAUUUAGCCGGUUCUGUGCGUAUUAAACUCUUUCUCUAUUGCAGUUCCCCUGUCUUGACAAACUGGCUUUAUCUAGGCAGUGGGCAAGAUGAACCCACUGGGCAGUUACAGUACCAAAAAAUAUAGUCUUCUCCCAGCCAAGAUUCUGUGUCUGCUGACGAAUUACUCAAACUGUUCCUGACGAUAUAGUUCACCUGUUCCUUCCCUUCUUCCCUCACACACCUAGGUCUUUUUCCUGUCCUUCCCUAUCCUCAAGAAGCCUGAAUUCAUGUUCCCAAUUGCUACCCUCUCCUCGGGGGAGAACUGGUGUGUGUGUGCUUCUUGAUUAACUUCUUCAUUACUAUUACUCCACACACACACAACGUGGAUAAGUGACUGUUCGGGUUUGCUGUAUGUUUUUAUUUUCCAGCAUUCCUUUCCCACUUCUAGUAGCAGCAUCUUCUUCCUUUGUGAAAAAGUCCCCCUCGACCAGGCGUGGUGGCUCACGCUUGCAAUCCCAGCACUUUGAGAGGCCAAGGCGGGCGGAUCACGUGGUCAGGAGAUCUAGACCAUCCUGGCUAACAAGAUGAAACUCCGUCUCUACUAAAAAUACAAAAAAAUUAGCUGGGCAUGGUGGCACGCACCUGUAGUCGCAGCUACUCGGGAGGCUGAGGCAGGAGAAUCGCUUGAACCCGGGAGGCGGAGGUUGCAGUGAGCUGUGAUCACGCCAUUGCACUCCAGCCUGGGCAACAAGAGCGAGACUGUCUCAAAAAAAGAAAAAGUCCCUCUCAUUGGUUCUGGUGGGGAUAUUAAUUACAAUACCCACUUCCCCAGAAGUGGGCAUAUGACACACAGCUAGGCCUAUCAAAAUUCUUUUCUCAGAUUUUACAUGAGAGGUAGGGAAAGCUCUUCAUUUUCUAGGAAUUGGUAAAUUGGGCAAAUGUAAGAUCAGAGUUGUCUCCAACUAUGUCCCACUCUCUACUCCACUCUUCCAUCACAGGAGUGAGCCUGUUUACAAGAGGACAAUAUACUCAAGUCUUGACAACAUGUUUGGAUCUCCAAGGCCAGUUUAUAGAUGGAGUCUCACUCUGUUGCCCAGGCUGGUCUCAAAC